AAACAAAAGUGUGUGUGGUUGUCCCAUAGAUCGCGCGACCUUCGCCGCGGCGGCAUUCAACGCUCCCGGCUAAGUGCCCGUAAAAUCAAAACAAUUCCUGACGUGGACGAGUAAACACGCGUGUGUCGCAUCGGUCCGUGCGAAUUCUGCUUGAUUUUCCUCAAUCUAUUACGAUUACGAGCACGAGAGGAAUACGAGUCUUUGUUCGCGCGUCGCGAUUACCAUGGGACGAUCAGCGUGAGCAACGAUAAUAUCGGAGAGUAAUAUUAUAUUUGCAGGGUCUUUUAUUUCGAGCGCAACUCACGGCCGAAGUCAACCUAACCUAACCUAACCUAACUUAACCUAGCGCAGGGCGCGGCAGUUUCGGUGGACUACGACGCCGUAUCGGAGGAUCCGAUUCGGGCCGAGCAGAGUCGGCUCGAAGAGUUGGUAGUAGAAUGCGGCCGAUUCUGACUUCAAGGCGUUUUGG
Molecule: long non-coding RNA, 469 nt
Organism: Harpegnathos saltator (Jerdon's jumping ant)
Lineage: Eukaryota; Metazoa; Arthropoda; Insecta; Hymenoptera; Formicidae
Exons: 3
Source: RefSeq, a predicted model, not a curated record